Molecule: ribosomal RNA, 253 nt
Filed under: uncultured bacterium
Lineage: Bacteria
Description: partial 16S ribosomal RNA
Rfam family: Bacterial small subunit ribosomal RNA
Source: RNAcentral
UACGAAGGGUGCAAGCGUUACUCGGAAUUACUGGGCGUAAAGCGUGCGUAGGUGGUUCGUUAAGUCCGAUGUGAAAGCCCUGGGCUCAACCUGGGAAUGGCAUUGGAUACUGGCGGGCUAGAGUGCGGUAGAGGAUGGCGGAAUUCCCGGUGUAGCAGUGAAAUGCGUAGAGAUCGGGAGGAACAUCCGUGGCGAAGGCGGUUCUCUGGGACGGUACUGACGCUGAGACGCGAAAGCGUGGGGAGCGAACAGG